RNAcentral lists this ribosomal RNA (487 nucleotides) under Amazonian soil bacterium P79. Its description in RNAcentral is "partial 16S ribosomal RNA". The record is from RNAcentral.
CUCCAAUCGGCCUCCCACUUCGACAGCUCCUCCCACAAGGGGUUGGGCCACCGGCUUCGGGUGUUACCGACUUUCGUGACGUGACGGGCGGUGUGUACAAGGCCCGGGAACGUAUUCACCGCAGCAAUGCUGAUCUGCGAUUACUANCGACUCCGACUUCAUGGGGUCGAGUUGCAGACCCCAAUCCGAACUGAGACCGGCUUUUUGAGAUUCGCUCCACCUUGCGGUAUCGCAGCUCAUUGUACCGGCCAUUGUANCACGUGUGCAGCCCAAGACAUAAGGGGCAUGAUGACUUGACGUCGUCCCCACCUUCCUCCGANUUGACCCCGGCGGUCUCCCGUGAGUCCCANCACCACAAGGGCCUGCUGGCAACACGGGACAAGGGUUGCGCUCGUUGCNGGACUUAACCCAACAUCUCACGACACGAACUGACNACAGCCNUGCACCACCUGUUCACCGACCACAAAGGGGGCCCCCAUCUCUGGAC